RNAcentral lists this ribosomal RNA (225 nucleotides) under uncultured bacterium. RNAcentral describes it as "partial 16S ribosomal RNA". It matches the Rfam family "Bacterial small subunit ribosomal RNA", at positions 524 to 746 of the family's 1533-position model. The record is from RNAcentral.
UACGUAGGGUGCAAGCGUUUAAUCGGAAUUACUGGGCGUAAAGCGUGCGCAGGCGGCUAUGCAAGACAGAUGUGAAAUCCCCCGGGCUCAACCUGGGAACUGCAUUUGUGACUGCAUAGCUAGAGUACGGUAGAGGGGGAUGGAAUUCCGCGUGUAGCAGUGAAAUGCGUAGAUAUGCGGAGGAACACCGAUGGCGAAGGCAAUCCCCUGGACCUGUACUGACGC